Helianthus annuus (common sunflower) is the source of this 2244-nucleotide long non-coding RNA. RefSeq lists it as uncharacterized. NCBI's taxonomy places the organism in Eukaryota, Viridiplantae, Streptophyta, Magnoliopsida, Asterales, Asteraceae. The transcript has 8 exons. The record is from RefSeq and is a predicted model, not a curated record.
CUUCGUAAUUUCAUUUGCCUACAAAGAUGAGAACGUGGUCAUAAGGUUAGACAGAGAGAGCGACAGAAGGGGGAGAGACGGUGGUUCCAGGCGUCACAGAAGGGGGUGGAGACGGUGGUUCCAUUGUGUACGCUUCACCACUGCGCCGACGUGUAAACCAGCUGUCUCGCGAGGAACUCUCCGGCGAUGCCGGUAACUGUCCGGCGAACCUAGGGUUCCGCCAUGACCUCAUAUGGUGGCGGCGUUGAUGGUGUUCUGAUUAAUGAGCACCGAUGGUUAACAGAUUCAACGGAGAUGAAGACAACUGCCAUACGAGUUAGUUCCGACAUAUUUUCCGGCGUUUAAGCGGCGGAGAGAUGAUGCUAGGGUUCCGGUGAAGGUCCGGCAAAGUUCGGGUACCCUGAUUCAGAUUAACCGUAGGUGCUCCGCUCACCGAUUUAGAGUCUCUGGCGAGUUCCACACCAGUGUAGAUCGAUAACCACAAAGGCUGGAAAAAAAAUCGACUGUUUCUUUUUAAACUUUCAAGUCUCAGAAGGGCAUCAAGCAACAACGCUCAACACUACUCCGCUCUCAAACUUGACGCCCUCGACACAACCACAACCAACUCGAAGGCUUUCGUUAGGCGAUUACGACUCUGCCAGGAGGUUCGAAAUUGUGAUGUGAAGAUGCAUGCAGUUACCAAGCUUGCUAGCAACCUUCUGAGGAUUCCUCUUUCUAAUACCAGUUAUUUUCAAAACAUGGAAUUCUAAUUAACGAUUACAAAGUUAUCCUUAAUUGCUUUGCGACGAGCGAUUUAGAUUUCAAGUACACUAAUUUGGCAAGCAAGGUAAGAUUCAGAGGUUCUUUCUUUCCAAAUUGCAUAUUAUUUACACUUGAAAUGUAAAUAUAAAUAUUAAUGCAAUACUUAGAUUUAUUUGUCAACCUCUUAGUAAAAUUCACAAGAACAGAUUGUUGACUCUUAUCCUUUUUAUAUGCAGAUGUUGAAACUUUGAUUAUAGUGCCUAAUUCAUAAAGUUAUCAAAAUUUCGUUUAAAUCUGUUGUUACAGUUUAAUCAUAAUCACUGAAAUUAAGUUUGCUUUUUGAAUUUUGUAGUUACAUGAAUUGUAUAUAGAUUUAUACAGGGUUGAGCUGGUUUGGUAACGGGCGCCACCCCCGCCAACUCAUCAUCUAUAGCGCCCCGGGGCGCUAUACCUCCACACCCUCGGAUUUAAAGGGGGGCGCUAUAGGAGGGGCUCCAUCAUGGUAACGAUGGAGAAGGGGCGCUAUAGAAGGGGGCCACCUGAUUUAAACCAAUGAAAUCUUUUUUUUAAUUUGUUUAAUAGGGGGCUCCAUCCACACCAUCAAAUUAAAGGGGGCUCCAUGGCUGAGGUGGAUCCUAGGUGGCGCUGACGUAGCCUGAUAAAGCCCCCAGGGGGCUCCAACCACACUCUCCAGCCUAAUUCAAGAUAUGGACUUUCACAUUCUUUGCUAAAACUGAGUUAAUUAACUUUUUAAAUCAUGUUUAUUGUUUUGAAUAUCCAUUUGAUCGUGAUGGUAUGGCCAUAGAUGUUAACGAUUAUCAAACAUGUAGCAAAACAAGAUAUGUAUGUGUGUGAAAUUAUUUAAGAGUUUUUAUGAAAUGAAAAUACACUUAGGUGACUUUUAUUCUUUUAACCUAUUUGAGUUAGUUUUAGUUUAAGUGCAUUCUGAAGUAGACAUGGUGAAUUAUGGUGGGCAAAGGGUUGCCGGUGGUGGUGGAUUUUCAGUGAUUUUGUAGAUGUCAUUUUAUCUAAAUAGCGAAAGGGUCGCCGUAAAGAGCUUAUCAGUCACUUCAACAUCCGUCUCCGAAUACAAAGGAAUGCUACUAGAAAUGACACCGGCAGGCGGCAACUACAGUGGCAAUCAAUCAAAGCAUGAAAAGCACACUGUAAUUGUAAUUUUGGUUCUCAUUGUAUAAUAAAAAAUCGCAAUCAGUUGCUUAAGUUUGUACGCUGUGUUUUACGCCGCCGCAACGCGCGGCGGGUAAAAAUUCUAGUUGAAUAUAUGAGGUAAAUAGUUGGGCACCUAACAAUCUUAUUGAACCUGUAGAUGUGAUAGAAGAGACGGAUAUAAAUACGGAAUGCUGCAUACACGUGCUUGAGAUUUUGUUAAGCAAAGCUGAUACUGAAAUUGUUGAAUGUGAAUGAGAGUUAAUGGACUUGUUGAGUCAACUUGCCUGCACUGAUGAAGUAUUUUUAAGAACAGUUCACAACUCUAGCUAUGGA